This 72-nucleotide transfer RNA is filed under the name Bos taurus (domestic cattle). It matches the Rfam family "tRNA". Rfam says of the family: Transfer RNA (tRNA) molecules are approximately 80 nucleotides in length. Their secondary structure includes four short double-helical elements and three loops (D, anti-codon, and T loops). Further hydrogen bonds mediate the characteristic L-shaped molecular structure. tRNAs have two regions of fundamental functional importance: the anti-codon, which is responsible for specific mRNA codon recognition, and the 3' end, to which the tRNAs corresponding amino acid is attached (by aminoacyl-tRNA synthetases). tRNAs cope with the degeneracy of the genetic code in two manners: having more than one tRNA (with a specific anti-codon) for a particular amino acid; and 'wobble' base-pairing, i.e. permitting non-standard base-pairing at the 3rd anti-codon position. Lineage: Eukaryota; Metazoa; Chordata; Mammalia; Artiodactyla; Bovidae. The record is from Rfam by way of RNAcentral. RNAcentral also lists the same sequence under 5 other names.
UCCCUGGUGGCUUAGACGGUAAAGAAUCCGCCUGAAAUGCAGGAGACCUGGGUUCAAUCCCUGGGUUGGGAA